This 82-nucleotide transfer RNA is filed under the name Candidatus Fibrimonadaceae bacterium. RNAcentral's name for it is "tRNA-Leu". It matches the Rfam family "tRNA". From Rfam's summary of the family: Transfer RNA (tRNA) molecules are approximately 80 nucleotides in length. The record is from RNAcentral. Lineage: Bacteria; Pseudomonadati; Fibrobacterota; Fibrobacteria; Candidatus Fibrimonadales; Candidatus Fibrimonadaceae.
GCGAAAGUGGCGGAAUUGGCAGACGCACUAGACUUAGAAUCUAGCACCGCAGGGUAUGGGGGUUCAACUCCCCCCUUUCGCA